This 282-nucleotide unclassified non-coding RNA is filed under the name plant metagenome. RNAcentral describes it as "partial contains small subunit ribosomal RNA, internal transcribed spacer 1, and 5.8S ribosomal RNA". The stretch from base 234 to 282 matches the Rfam family "5.8S ribosomal RNA", at positions 1 to 49 of the family's 154-position model. The record is from RNAcentral.
UUUCCGUAGGUGAACCUGCGGAAGGAUCAUUAUUGUAUAACCGAGGUGCGAGGGCUGUCGCUGACCCAAAGGUCGUGCACGCCCGAGUGCCCUCACACACAUCCAUCUCACCCCUAUGUGCACCACCGCGUGGGUCCCCCUUUGGCUUGUUCGGAGGGGGGCUUACGUUUUCACACAAACUUUGUAUGCAGUGUAGAAUGUAUUUUUUGUUUUUGCGAUCACGCAAUCAAUACAACUUUCAACAACGGAUCUCUUGGCUCUCGCAUCGAUGAAGAACGCGGC